Molecule: long non-coding RNA, 2152 nt
Organism: Acinonyx jubatus (cheetah)
Lineage: Eukaryota; Metazoa; Chordata; Mammalia; Carnivora; Felidae
Exons: 6
Source: RefSeq, a predicted model, not a curated record
UCUGUGCUGACAAAAGACUCCAAUGCGGGGCUCGAAUUCACGAACCGUGAGAUCAUGUCCUGAGCUAGAGUCGGAUGCUUAACUGAGUGAGCCACCCAGGCGCCCCUGGUUUGUUUUGUUUUUUAGUGGACUCUACCUCCAACGUGGGACUUGAACUCACAACCCCAAGAUUAAGGGUGGCAUGCCCUGCUGACUGAGCCAGCCAGGUGCCCCAAUAUAAGGCAUUUAUCUCUCACCUCUCCAUCUCAGCACUGAGCUGACAUCUUGAAAUAACUGAAAAGCAAAUUAAUUCUUUUCAGUGCAAUCUCUUGAGAGACUGCAUUCAUAACGUCCAGUUGAGUGUCUUAAAGAUCUUCUUUUCCCAUGUUUUCCCAUGUGCCCAUGUUAUCUUUUGCUGUAUAGCAAACCACCCCCCAAUGUAAUGGCUUAUGUCAAUAACUAGGUUGACGAUAUCGGCUGGAUGGUAGUUCUCUUAUGCUUUUGGCAGGUACUGCAGUCCUUUGACAACUCAUUUGGUGGGAACACCCAACUUGGCUCGUUCCCGGGGCUGGCGGUAAGCGCUGGUUGUCAGCUGAGAGCUCAGCUGAGACAGUCAGUCAGGAUGUCUUGAUUUCUUUUCACGCCCUGACUUUGGAAUUCUCACAGCAUGGCAGCCAGGUUCUAGGAGGGACCCUUCCAGGUUUGCGUAAGAGACCACCGCAGAUCUUCUUAGGCUCUGCCUUGGAAGCUACACAGUUUCACUUCUGUCACAUUCCAUUGGCCAAAGCAAGUCCCAGAUUCAAAGGAAUUGAAGAAGACUCUCCCCCUGGGGUCACCUCUGAGUUGGGAGGAAGAAUCUGUCAAGACUCAUCAAUCCACUCUCGACAGACCAAACAGUUUGGUGGAAAACAGGAUGAGUCAUGUUAAAUGAGCAAUUGGUUGGAGAUCCAGGAAAGCUAACGAUGUACUGACAGUCCAAGGCCCAAACGCCUAAGGACUGGGGGAUCUGAUGGUAUGAAUCCCAGUUCGAUGAGGGCAGAAGAUGCCAUGCGAUGUUCAAGCUCAAUCAGUGAGGCAGAAAAAAGAAGUCGUUUCCUCUUCUCUCUGCCUUUUGUUCUAUUCAGGCCCCCAGUGGGUUAGAUGAGGCCCACCCACACUGGGGAGGGUAAUUUACUUUACUGGGUCUGUCCGUUCAGACGCUAAUCUCAGCCAGAAAUACAGACACGCCAAGAAAUAAUGUUUCAUUUGGGCAUCCCAUGCCAGUCAAGGUGACACAAAAUUAAUCGUCACGUAAGGAUUCUCUUAUUUCAUUCAUGUGCUGGUACAUAAAGGAAAGUUGAAUGAAAGGGUGUGUUUGAAGUAGACAGCUUGUCUCAGAGAAUUUAAGAAAUGAAACCCAAGUUGCAUGACAUUUCUGCUUAUUUUCUUCUUUUCUCUUGAUGCCAAGUCUUGGGUAUUUGCAGGAAAAAAUCCUGGGGCCCCUGGCUGGCUCAGUCUGUUGAACAUCCAGUGGUAAGCAGAUAAGGAAGACCAAGCAAAGGAGGCAGAAAAGGAGAAAAGGCAGCACCAGCCCAGACCUGCUACAGAGAACUUUACAUGAAGGCUUGGUGAAAGUGGCAAGGAAUUACAGCACAAAUCAGUAAACAACCUAAGUUCGAGUAAGUGAAUAACCUUAUCUCAAGUUCAUCGGCCAUUUCUGCUCAUAUUUUCUUUUGGGCCACUGGCCUGCUGCCAUUUUUAUGGGUCCAUUCUCUCGCUCUAGGGUCUUUCCCCCCCUCAUCUUUCUCCUAGUUCCAAAUUCACCUCCCACCCAUUUCAAAGAAAACCUUUUCAAAAUAGACAUUAUAACUACAUGUAAAAUGUACUGAUAAUUCGUUCAAUGGAAGAAUUUAGCUUCUGUUUUUCAACCUCCUUAUUCCAGUCUGCCCCAGACUUUGCCUUUUGAAGUCCCAAUAUAUCCUUUCAAACAAAAUGCCAGUUUGCAAUACAUAUUUAGCAAUCCAAGAAUUGUUAGAAAUUUUGAAAAUCACAGCUUUUCUUUAACUGCUGAAAGAUCAAAUUCUUAGGUGGUUUCAAGGUCAAAGCAUUACUCAUAGCUCUGUGACCAGGGGCUUUUGUUAAAGGAAGCAGGACAGGAGUAGACUUUGUUACCCUUCCCUUUGUGAAUAGAAAA